This 55-nucleotide transfer RNA is filed under the name Phintella cavaleriei. RNAcentral's name for it is "tRNA-Ser". The record is from RNAcentral. Lineage: Eukaryota; Metazoa; Arthropoda; Arachnida; Araneae; Salticidae.
UGAAUAGGAUAUAAUGAGGUUGCUAACUUCUAUUUUAGCUUAAGCUACUAUUUAU